CUCCUACGGGAGGGCAGCAGUGGGGAAUCUUGCACAAUGGGCGAAAGCCUGAUGCAGCAAUGCCGCGUGAGUGAUGAAGGCCUUCGGGUUGUAAAUCUCUGUCGGUUGGGACAAACGGACUUAUGGUUAAUAUCCAUAGGUAGUGAUGGUACCAGCAAAGGAAGAGGCGGCUAACUCUGUGCCAGCCGCCGCGGUAAUAC
This 200-nucleotide ribosomal RNA is filed under the name uncultured bacterium. Its description in RNAcentral is "partial 16S ribosomal RNA". It matches the Rfam family "Bacterial small subunit ribosomal RNA", at positions 336 to 526 of the family's 1533-position model. The record is from RNAcentral.